GCCGGGCACGGAGUUGCGUGCCUGUAGUCCCAGCUACUCAGAAGGCUGAGAUGGGAAGAUCGCUUGAGUCCAGGAGUUCUGGGCUGUAGUGUGCUAUGCUGAUUGGGUGUCCACACUAAGUUCGGCAUCAAUAUGGUGACCUCCUGGGAGCGGGGAACCACCAGGUUGCCUAAGUAGGGGUGAACCGGCCCAGGUCAGAAACUGAGCAGGUCAAAACUCCCCGGCUGGUCAGUAGUAGAUACCACCUGUGAAUAGCCACUGCAUUCCAGCCUGGCCAACAUAGCAAGACCCUGUCUCU
This 298-nucleotide signal recognition particle RNA is filed under the name Cebus imitator (Panamanian white-faced capuchin). RNAcentral describes it as "Metazoan signal recognition particle RNA (ENSCCAG00000009018.1)". It matches the Rfam family "Metazoan signal recognition particle RNA". Rfam says of the family: The signal recognition particle (SRP) is a universally conserved ribonucleoprotein. The record is from RNAcentral. Lineage: Eukaryota; Metazoa; Chordata; Mammalia; Primates; Cebidae.